UUAUCCGGAUUUAUUGGGUUUAAAGGGAGCGUAGGCGGGUGCUUAAGUCAGUUGUGAAAGUUUGCGGCUCAACCGUAAAAUUGCAGUUGAUACUGGGCGCCUUGAGUGCAGCAUAGGUAGGCGGAAUUCGUGGUGUAGCGGUGAAAUACUUAGAUAUCACGAAGAACUCCGAUUGCGAAGGCAGCUUACUGGACUGUAACUGACGCUGAUGCUCGAAAGUGUGGGUAUCAAACAGGAUUAGAUACCCUGGUAGUCCACACAGUAAACGAUGAAUACUCGCUGUUGGCGAUACACAGUCAGCGGCCAAGCGAAAGCAUUAAGUAUUCCACCUGGGGAGUACGCCGGCAACGGUGAAACUCAA
This 361-nucleotide ribosomal RNA is filed under the name uncultured bacterium. Its description in RNAcentral is "bacterial SSU rRNA". It matches the Rfam family "Bacterial small subunit ribosomal RNA", at positions 541 to 904 of the family's 1533-position model. The record is from RNAcentral.